UACUCCCUCCGUCCCGAAAUAACCAAACCUCGUACUAGGAUGUGACACGUCCUCCUAUGUACUAGGACGUGCCACAUCCUAGUACGAGGUUGGUUUAUUUUGGGAUGGAGGGAGUAU
Oryza meridionalis is the source of this 117-nucleotide non-coding RNA. NCBI's taxonomy places the organism in Eukaryota, Viridiplantae, Streptophyta, Magnoliopsida, Poales, Poaceae. The record is from Rfam.